AUUGAACGCUGGCGGCGGGCUUAACACAUGCAAGUCGAGCGGAGCGAGGGUGCUUGCACCUUAGCUUAGCGGCGGACGGGUGAGUAAUGCUUAGGAAUCUGCCUAUUAGUGGGGGACAACAUUCCGAAAGGGAUGCUAAUACCGCAUACGCCCUACGGGGGAAAGCAGGGGAUCUUCGGACCUUGCGCUAAUAGAUGAGCCUAAGUCGGAUUAGCUAGUUGGUGGGGUAAAGGCCUACCAAGGCGACGAUCGGUAGCGGGUCUGAGAGGAUGAUCCGCCACACUGGGACUGAGACACGGCCCAGACUCCUACGGGAGGCAGCAGUGGGGAAUAUUGGACAAUGGGCGGAAGCCUGAUCCAGCCAUGCCGCGUGUGUGAAGAAGGCCUUUUGGUUGUAAAGCACUUUAAGCGAGGAGGAGGCUACUAGUAUUAAUACUACUGGAUAGUGGACGUUACUCGCAGAAUAAGCACCGGCUAACUCUGUGCCAGCCGCCGCGGUAA
This 501-nucleotide ribosomal RNA is filed under the name uncultured bacterium. Its description in RNAcentral is "partial 16S ribosomal RNA". It matches the Rfam family "Bacterial small subunit ribosomal RNA", at positions 30 to 523 of the family's 1533-position model. The record is from RNAcentral.